RNAcentral lists this ribosomal RNA (508 nucleotides) under uncultured bacterium. RNAcentral's name for it is "partial 16S ribosomal RNA". It matches the Rfam family "Bacterial small subunit ribosomal RNA", at positions 28 to 507 of the family's 1533-position model. The record is from RNAcentral.
GACGAACGCUGGCGGCGUGCUUAACACAUGCAAGUCGAACGGGCCUUGUCCCCUUUUUUUUUGGGGGUGGGGUUAGUGGCGAACGGGUGAGUAGCACGUGAGUAACCUGCCCCUCACUUCUGGAUAACCGCUUGAAAGGGUGGCUAAUACGGGGUGUUCUGGCCUGCUCGCAUGGGUGGGUUUGGAAAGAUUCGACCGGUUUUGGUUGUUUUGGUGGGGGAUGGGCUCGCGGCCUAUCAGCUUGUUGGUGGGGUGAUGGCCUGCCAAGGCUUUGACGGGUAGCCGGCCUGAGAGGGUGGGCGGUCACACUGGGACUGAGACACGGCCCAGACUCCUACGGGAGGCAGCAGUGGGGAAUAUUGCACAAUGGGCGCAAGCCUGAUGCAGCGACGCCGCGUGAGGGAUGGAGGCCUUCGGGUUGUGAACCUCUUUCGCCAGUGAAGAAGGUCCUGCUCUUUGUGGUGGGGUUGACGGUAGCUGGGUUAAUGAAGCGCCGGCUAACUACGUG